Molecule: long non-coding RNA, 593 nt
Filed under: Hordeum vulgare
Lineage: Eukaryota; Viridiplantae; Streptophyta; Magnoliopsida; Poales; Poaceae
Description: long non-coding RNA (HVUL_LNC010115)
Source: RNAcentral
AAAGGGCACAUGUGAGCUUCUUGCUUGUGGAGGUGGACAUCAAUGCCUGCCCUUGUGUGGCGCCCGAGCCCCUCCCACGUUGUGCUAGCCAGGUCGGAUGCUUUCUCGACGGAAGCCCCCGAGUCUAGCUUGAGGAAAGCGCCAGGCGCACCUUCCUAUGCCAGGGCAACAAAAUCACCGACGGUGACAGUAUCGGAUGGUGCGCUCCUCGUCUCUCUGAAGCUCGAGGCAGGCUGUGACUGCCUCUCUCUUGGGGGCGCAGCCAUGCGACGUUCAACAUCUCCCUCGCCAUCUGAGUGACCGACCACGGCAGCCUGGAAGGCGCGCUCGAGGGAACGUGUUGCACCUCCCUCGUCACAAGCAACGGUGGUGAUGCUGCUGUGGCCAGGCACCUUGAGGAUGUUAUAACCAUGGUGGGCUACCGCCAUGAACUUAGCCAUUGCGGGGUAACCAAGACUCUGUUGCAAGGUAGGCCAAUAUGUGCAAUGUCAAAGUCGAUGAGAUCGGUGUGGUAGAGGUAAUAAUAAAUUGGUUAUUAUUAUAUUUCCUUGUUCAUAAUAAUCAUUUAUUAUCCAUGCUAGAAUUGUAUUGAU